This 415-nucleotide ribosomal RNA is filed under the name uncultured bacterium. RNAcentral's name for it is "bacterial SSU rRNA". It matches the Rfam family "Bacterial small subunit ribosomal RNA", at positions 28 to 426 of the family's 1533-position model. The record is from RNAcentral.
GAUGAACGCUGGCGGCGUGCCUAACACAUGCAAGUCGAGCGAGAAGGUUAUGACGGAUUCUUCGGAUGACAGAUUAAUUGGAAAGCGGCGGACGGGUGAGUAACGCGUGAGAAACCUGCCCUAUACAGGGGGAUAGCCAUUGGAAACGAUGAUUAAUACCCCAUAUGACCACAGUAUCGCAUGAUACAGCGGUGAAAACUCCGGUGGUAUAGGAUGGUCUCGCGUCUGAUUAGCUAGUUGGUGGGGUAACGGCCUACCAAGGCGACGAUCAGUAGCCGGCCUGAGAGGGUGACCGGCACACUGGAACUGAGACACGGUCCAGACUCCUACGGGAGGCAGCAGUGGGGAAUAUUGCACAAUGGGCGAAAGCCUGAUGCAGCGACGCCGCGUGAACGAUGAAGGCUUUUCGAGUCGU